Molecule: ribosomal RNA, 450 nt
Filed under: uncultured bacterium
Lineage: Bacteria
Description: partial 16S ribosomal RNA
Rfam family: Bacterial small subunit ribosomal RNA
Source: RNAcentral
GUGGGGAAUAUUGGACAAUGGGCGAAAGCCUGAUCCAGCCAUGCCGCGUGUGUGAAGAAGGUCUUCGGAUUGUAAAGCACUUUAAGUUGGGAGGAAGGGCAGUAAGUUAAUACCUUGCUGUUUUGACGUUACCGACAGAAUAAGCACCGGCUAACUUCGUGCCAGCAGCCGCGGUAAUACGAAGGGUGCAAGCGUUAAUCGGAAUUACUGGGCGUAAAGCGCGCGUAGGUGGUUCAGUAAGUUGGAAGUGAAAUCCCCGGGCUCAACCUGGGAACUGCUUUCAAAACUACUGAGCUAGAGUACGGUAGAGGGUAGUGGAAUUUCCUGUGUAGCGGUGAAAUGCGUAGAUAUAGGAAGGAACACCAGUGGCGAAGGCGACUACCUGGACUGAUACUGACACUGAGGUGCGAAAGCGUGGGGAGCAAACAGGAUUAGAAACCCCUGUAGUCC